AGUGAACGCUGGCGGUAGGCCUAACACAUGCAAGUCGAACGGCAGCACAGGAGAGCUUGCUCUCUGGGUGGCGAGUGGCGGACGGGUGAGGAAUACAUCGGAAUCUACUCUGUCGUGGGGGAUAACGUAGGGAAACUUACGCUAAUACCGCAUACGACCUACGGGUGAAAGCAGGGGACCUUCGGGCCUUGCGCGAUUGAAUGAGCCGAUGUCGGAUUAGCUAGUUGGCGGGGUAAAGGCCCACCAAGGCGACGAUCCGUAGCUGGUCUGAGAGUAUGCUCAGCCACACUGGAACUGAGACACGGUCCAGACUCCUACGCGAGGCAGCAGUGGGGAAUAUUGGACAAUGGGCGCAAGCCUGAUCCAGCCAUACCGCGUGGGUGAAGAAGGCCUUCGGGUUGUAAAGCCCUUUUGUUGGGAAAGAAAUCCAGCUGGCCAAUACCCGGUUGGGAUGACGGUACCCAAAGAAUAAGCACCGGCUAACUUCGUGCCAGCCGCCGCAGUAA
RNAcentral lists this ribosomal RNA (506 nucleotides) under uncultured bacterium. RNAcentral describes it as "partial 16S ribosomal RNA". It matches the Rfam family "Bacterial small subunit ribosomal RNA", at positions 29 to 523 of the family's 1533-position model. The record is from RNAcentral.